Molecule: ribosomal RNA, 190 nt
Filed under: uncultured rumen bacterium
Lineage: Bacteria
Description: partial 16S ribosomal RNA
Rfam family: Bacterial small subunit ribosomal RNA
Source: RNAcentral
CCUACGGGAGGCAGCAGUGAGGAAUAUUGGUCAAUGGGCGGGAGCCUGAACCAGCCAAGUAGCGUGCAGGAUGACGGCCCUAUGGGUUGUAAACUGCUUUUGUAUGGGGAUAAAUUGCUCCACGCGUGGAGUAUUGCAGGUACCAUACGAAUAAGGACCGGCUAAUUCCGUGCCAGCAGCCGCGGUAAUA